UGCCCCUCACUUGCCAAUACGUCUAGAUCAGCCAGGGCGUCGGCAUGUGUAGCGUAUUAUGUUGGGCUCUCUCGAKAUAAGGAUACGAUGUCCCUUUAUCGGUUGGUUUCCUGCGUGUGCGGCCCGUUCGGUUUUUUUGUUACUUUCGCAUCGUUCGGUGCAUUCUGGGGGCUGUGUUGGCUUUUGGUGGCUUGCUUGGCCUUUUGGCUUUGCUUGUUGCUACUUGUCGGGCUGCUUUCGGGAAUGUCGACCGUGGAGGUGCAUGAGUGGUGUUUGGUUUGUUACGUGUGGAUGGCUGUUUGCUUGUGCAACAACGUUCACGCUGCAUACCUCUUCAGUUUUGCGGCAAGGCUUGGUUUGGCUUGUGCAUAUUGUGGGUUUCCUGUGUUGCAUACCUAGUUGAUGGAAAAGUGUGGGUUUUACGAUUUUCAUUUUCGUCUUGCGUCGUUCUUUUGGCGUGGGAUGAACAAUGAAGCGAUCUUUAUGAUCCAUCGUGCUGUUGCGUUUGCAACAAUGAUGUGGCCUAUGAAGCAUCGUUUGGUCUCUUGUAUACGGAAGCUCAUUUGGGCUUGGGUCUUUAUAAGAUCUUCGUUACGCCCUUGUUAARCGUUCUCGCUUCUCCUAAACGAUUG
Molecule: unclassified non-coding RNA, 632 nt
Filed under: Centaurea prolongi
Lineage: Eukaryota; Viridiplantae; Streptophyta; Magnoliopsida; Asterales; Asteraceae
Description: partial external transcribed spacer
Source: RNAcentral